This 269-nucleotide long non-coding RNA is filed under the name Mytilus galloprovincialis (Mediterranean mussel). The record is from RNAcentral. Lineage: Eukaryota; Metazoa; Mollusca; Bivalvia; Mytilida; Mytilidae.
CCCGACAAUACCAAUAACAAAAUGAAACGCAAAACUAUAUUUAGAGUCUAUAAAGGCCGUGUUAAUCCAGUUCGUUAAAAGGUCUGUUUGAUUCAUGCACUUGUACAUAACUAAGUCAUCCCAUAAAUAAUCAUGUACAAAGAGUUCGUGUAACGUUGGAAUCGUUAUAAAAUAAAUUGUUAAGCUAGUUUUUUUGGUGAUACGCAUUUCAAUUCUUUUGAUUUUAUCAUGUUUAUCAAGAUGAAUAAAAUAAUUUCAUGCUGAAAAUG